GGCGCGGCGGUCACUCGCGAACCUCGGCGAGGAUCCAGCGACGCGGAGCCGGCCGGAGGAGCGCUUCUCGUCGGAUGAGUGGGAAGACGGAGCCGGUCCUGCCGUUAACCGUCAGCCUCCGACUGCCGCUGAGGCCAACCGCCUGUCUUGGAAAUCGUCUCGUUUUAAACGUGCCGGGGCUCUGGUGCAAACCGUACCUGGAAGCGUGGCGCAAUGGAAAAGCUGUCAUUUCAGGGCUGCGCGAUAGCCCAGUUCCCGGCCUGGAGGUGUUAGUACUUCUGGAAAGAGCCUCAAAGAAGCUUUCAUCUGUAGAAAACCCUACGAGAAAAGCACAGAACACUUUUUAGAAAUC
RNAcentral lists this long non-coding RNA (352 nucleotides) under Struthio camelus australis. Its description in RNAcentral is "lncRNA (ENSSCUG00000008026.1)". Lineage: Eukaryota; Metazoa; Chordata; Aves; Struthioniformes; Struthionidae. The record is from RNAcentral.